GCCCAGGUGGCGAAAUGGUAGACGCGCUCGUUUCAGGUGCGAGUGCUUAACGGCAUGUAGGUUCGAGUCCUAUCCUGGGCAC
This 82-nucleotide transfer RNA is filed under the name Alistipes sp. RNAcentral's name for it is "tRNA-Leu". It matches the Rfam family "tRNA". From Rfam's summary of the family: Transfer RNA (tRNA) molecules are approximately 80 nucleotides in length. Their secondary structure includes four short double-helical elements and three loops (D, anti-codon, and T loops). The record is from RNAcentral. Lineage: Bacteria; Pseudomonadati; Bacteroidota; Bacteroidia; Bacteroidales; Rikenellaceae.